CCAACUUAAACUUUGAAGAUAAUCCCUAACAGGAUUAAAGUCCUCCACAAGCAGGCAGAGGCAAGCUAUUCAGAAAAACAAGGUCAUGCCGCAAUUUUUUUUUUUUUGGGGGGUAAGCACAGGAAUCAACAAAGAGAUGUUAUAUAACUUCUAUUUAUAUCCUACUUGCUCACUAGCUGCAGGCAUACGAGAGGAGCUGGGAAGGGAAUUUAAUGAGCUCUCGGGGCUUGCUCACCUUCCAGAGCUGGUAGGAGCCAGCUUGUUUUUGAAGUGCGUCAGCAAAUGAAACUGGUGGUGGGUGGGUGGUUUGGGUAGGUGGACUGACUUGUUGCUAUGGUUUUCUUUAAUUCCUCUGUCUCUCAA
This 363-nucleotide small RNA is filed under the name Dromaius novaehollandiae (emu). RNAcentral's name for it is "sRNA (ENSDNVG00000014767.1)". Lineage: Eukaryota; Metazoa; Chordata; Aves; Casuariiformes; Dromaiidae. The record is from RNAcentral.